AAGGCAUCAGCUAUGUUGUGGAAGAACUGUUCCAGGAGUCCCUGGGGAUGCGUCCAGAAGCCGCCCAUGUCCUGGUCCUGAUCACCGACGGCAGGGCCCAGGAUAACGUGGUGCCACCUUCACGAAUUGCACGUGCUCUUGGUCAGUGUGUGUUUUAAACCUCCCACGUGUCUUGCGCGGAGCAUCACUUCAGCUCUCUGUGCUUUCUCUAGGAGUCAGCGUCCUGGCGGUGGGAGUGUCGAACGCAGACAUCGAGGAGCUGCAUAGAAUAGCUGCGCCUGCCGGCUACAAGAACAUCUUCUACUCGCCGACCUUCGACGACUUCCCCUCCGUCGAGAGAGACUUCAUCAGCAGCCUCUGCAGCGAGGAGCUCCUCUCUGAAUUCAAAGUCGAGGCAAGAGAGGAAAAUGUUUCACUCACAACAUAGCAGAUGCACCAUGUUUAGUUGUGGUGUCCAACGAGCAGGUUAUUACUGUCCAAGCACACGUGUCCUCCACCUCACGUCAGAGUCGUGUCCUUAUUUCGUGACUCGUGUCACGACGUGCCCGUCCAGUCCCUAAUGAGUCCCUUCCCCCCUCGCUUCACACUUUCAGUCCUCUCUGUUGGACGCUCCCACUGAAAGCCCAGACGAGCUGCUCCAGCCCCGGGGCCCGUGUCCCUCCCGGUGCGCGAAGGUGGGUUCCAGCGUGACUCAUCGGUCGUCGUGAGAGAAACAACUCAGCGGCAGAAUAUAGACGAUGAUCAAUAUGAUCUUUGAUUUUUGUCACCUUUUCUUGCAUCUUUCAGGGCCAAAAAGGGGAAAAGGUGGGCCGAUGCAACAGUUUGUAGGUCUGCAGUAAUGAAUCCAAAUGUCUGUUUAUUUGUUUGUUGCUCUCAUCCCGUCAGGGAGAUGGGUUCGGUCUUGGAAGUCUGGUAAGUUGUACGAUGCUUCCACACACUCACAGCCUCGGUGUCCACAUGUCUUACUGUUAUUAUUAAAAGUGUAUUUUUCUUUUAGAGAUUCAGGCAAAAGGGUGGACCGUAUGAUCCUUUUGAUUCCUUUAAAGGACAACCAGGAGAAAGAGGGCCUCCUGGAACAGAUGGUGUCCCUGGGUUGCCAGGGCGACCAGGGAGAACUGGACCUCCAGGUCCUGGCGGCCAGCGGGUAACUGAAUUCCUAAACACGUAAAUCUCCCUCUGAUGUGGUUACUCUUCA
This 1195-nucleotide long non-coding RNA is filed under the name Takifugu rubripes (torafugu). RNAcentral describes it as "lncRNA (ENSTRUG00000029790.1)". The record is from RNAcentral. Lineage: Eukaryota; Metazoa; Chordata; Actinopteri; Tetraodontiformes; Tetraodontidae.